UACGUAGGGUGCGAGCGUUAAUCGGAAUUACUGGGCGUAAAGCGCGCGUAGGCGGAUCGCUAAGUCAGGGGUGAAAUCCCAGGGCUCAACCCUGGAACUGCCUUUGAUACUGACGAUCUGGAGAUCGGGAGAGGUUGGUGGAAUUCCGAGUGUAGAGGUGAAAUUCGUAGAUAUUCGGAGGAACACCAGAAGCGAAGGCGGCCAACUGGCCCGAUACUGACGCUGAGGCGCGAAAGCGUGGGGAGCAAACAGG
This 253-nucleotide ribosomal RNA is filed under the name uncultured bacterium. RNAcentral describes it as "partial 16S ribosomal RNA". It matches the Rfam family "Bacterial small subunit ribosomal RNA", at positions 524 to 776 of the family's 1533-position model. The record is from RNAcentral.